CAAGCAGAAAGCUGCUGGGAAAGUGGGUGCCCGGGUGGGAGGCGGAAGCCCCAGGGAGAGGCAGACGAAGGUGCCCUGUGCAGGCCCCGCCUCCAGCCUGGCGGACAGUGCCCUGGGUUUCCAUGCCCAGACCAGGGCCUUCCCAGAACCGCAGCCAGGACAUGAAAAGCUGUCAGACAGUUGCCUCUGUGUUCCUGGAAGCUGUGGCUCAGGAAAAGUGGGAGGGAGAGAAGGAGGGAGAGAGCAAUCGAGGGAGAGCAGAAGAGAGUGCGAAGAGAAAGAGAAAGACAGGAGGAGGAGCAAGGGGAAGGGAGGAGGCAAGCGUGGAAAGGUGAGAAGAGGUGAGGCAGAGGCCCACGUGGAGAGGCAGAGCCUGGGACGCUGCCUGCGGGGGAGGUCAGGGCCACAGGGGAACCCACACCCAGCCGGGCAGGAGUCAGAGGCUGUUGUCAUGGUAACUGGCAUCCCAAGGCCUGGUCUGCCUCCUGCCUCCUUUGAUGGUCACUGCUUCCUCUGCGAAGCACCUGUCGCGUGUGGGGGUUUGUACCAAGCUCUUUCCACGCACUAGGGGGAGAAACCAGGCAGCCCACCUUCAGAGCCCGCGUCUUAACUGUGACCCCACGUUGAAAUAAAAUGUGGAAACUGCCCACAGACACACCUCGUGG
Molecule: long non-coding RNA, 665 nt
Organism: Gorilla gorilla gorilla (western lowland gorilla)
Lineage: Eukaryota; Metazoa; Chordata; Mammalia; Primates; Hominidae
Exons: 3
Source: RefSeq, a predicted model, not a curated record